GCAGGAGCCUUACAUGUUUUAUUAGUGUUACAGUCAUUAUAGGAGUACUGAUUGAUGUUCAUCCCAUUUUAAGAAAUAGUUCUUAUUUGUGACUCAUUAAUAAUUUGCAUAAUCAUUAUAUGCAAUAAUCGUGUCUAUCUAACUCUUCAGUGAAUUUCAAUACUCUGAGAAUCAUUAUGUGUAUGAUCAUGAGAUAAGAGUCAAUUAGCUCUAGCCACAUUCUUGAAAACAUUUAACUAGGAAAACACGUCACUCGAAUGUGAUCAAGUGCUAACUGUUCUUUUAGGACUAAGCUAUGACUAUUAAAGAACCUGCACCAGGAUAAACUCCUUUCUAAGAAAUAACAUUUAAUUAAG
Molecule: long non-coding RNA, 356 nt
Filed under: Bos taurus (domestic cattle)
Lineage: Eukaryota; Metazoa; Chordata; Mammalia; Artiodactyla; Bovidae
Description: long non-coding RNA NONBTAT023919
Source: RNAcentral